RNAcentral lists this ribosomal RNA (291 nucleotides) under uncultured bacterium. Its description in RNAcentral is "partial 16S ribosomal RNA". It matches the Rfam family "Archaeal small subunit ribosomal RNA", at positions 456 to 747 of the family's 1478-position model. The record is from RNAcentral.
GUCCAGCCGCCGCGGUCAUACCGGCCGCCCGAGUGAUGGCCGAUAUUAUUGGGCCUAAAGCGUCCGUAGCUGGCCGAACAGGUCCGUCGGGAAAUCCACGUGCUUAACACGUGGGCGACCGGCGGAAACUGUUCGGCUUGGGGCCGGAGGACCCGAGGGGUACGUCCGGGGUAGGAGUGAAAUCCUGUAAUCCUGGACGGACCGCCGGUGGCGAAAGCGCCUCGGGAAGACGGACCCGACAGUGAGGGACGAAAGCUGGGAUCUCGAACCGGAUUAGAUACCGUGUAGUCC